GAUGAAGCUCUCAAGAGGUUGGUUUGGGUUUUGGAGAGUCUCCCUGCGGAACCAACCCGGGAACAGGUAUUCAUGCGGAAAAUCCCCUCUAUGAUAUCCCCAUUUCAUUUGAGUGAAACACGUAUCUCGUCAAUGGCUCUUGACUUGCCCGAGAGGUAAACUUCAUGGCCUAACUGCAGGAUCUCGUAAUUAAUGAGUGCAUCCCCCUCCCCCAUCCAUCCCCUUGAACACAGCUCCGCCCCAGAGACUCACCCAGAGAAUUCUACACUUUGAAGGGCCUCAUUACCUGGGGCAAAAGUUACUGCGCCUGCUGGUAGUAGAGGGGACGACCCACCCAAUCCAAUCUCUCCAACACACCCCACUUAGCAAGUUAACUUACAUAGUUAGAUAAUAAUAACAAAAACAUUCCCUUCUACAUUCUGUUUCUCAGACUAGUAUAAUUGACAGCGACACCAGUUUAGCGCUAUCCUGGUCCUUUAUUGACUUCGCUACCUCUCCCUGGCUUUGUCCUCGAUUUUGAAUGCCGU
This 527-nucleotide small RNA is filed under the name Histoplasma capsulatum. RNAcentral describes it as "hypothetical RNA". Lineage: Eukaryota; Fungi; Ascomycota; Eurotiomycetes; Onygenales; Ajellomycetaceae. RNAcentral also lists the same sequence under 1 other name. The record is from RNAcentral.